This 271-nucleotide ribosomal RNA is filed under the name uncultured Sulfuricurvum sp. RNAcentral's name for it is "partial 16S ribosomal RNA". It matches the Rfam family "Bacterial small subunit ribosomal RNA", at positions 1111 to 1382 of the family's 1533-position model. Lineage: Bacteria; Pseudomonadati; Campylobacterota; Epsilonproteobacteria; Campylobacterales; Sulfurimonadaceae. The record is from RNAcentral.
UUAGUUGCUAACAGUUCGGCUGAGCACUCUAGGGAGACUGCCUUCGCAAGGAGGAGGAAGGUGAGGACGACGUCAAGUCAUCAUGGCCCUUACGGCCAGGGCUACACACGUGCUACAAUGGGGCGUACAGAGAGCUGCGAUACCGCGAGGUGGAGCCAAUCUCUUAAAGCGUCUCUCAGUUCGGAUUGUUCUCUGCAACUCGAGAACAUGAAGCUGGAAUCACUAGUAAUCGCAGAUCAGCUAUGCUGCGGUGAAUACGUUCCCGGGUCUU